Molecule: ribosomal RNA, 253 nt
Filed under: uncultured bacterium
Lineage: Bacteria
Description: partial 16S ribosomal RNA
Rfam family: Bacterial small subunit ribosomal RNA
Source: RNAcentral
UACAGAGGUGGCAAGCGUUGUUCGGAAUUACUGGGCGUAAAGGGCGCGUAGGCGGCCUCCUAAGUCGAACGUGAAAGCCCCAGGCUUAACCUGGGAACUGCGUUUGAUACUGGGAGGCUUGGAUUCGGGAGAGGGAUGUGGAAUUCCAGGUGUAGCGGUGAAAUGCGUAGAUAUCUGGAGGAACACCGGUGGCGAAGGCGGCAUCCUGGACCGAGAUCGACGCUGAGGCGCGAAAGCUAGGGGAGCAAACGGG